Molecule: ribosomal RNA, 311 nt
Filed under: uncultured bacterium
Lineage: Bacteria
Description: bacterial SSU rRNA
Rfam family: Bacterial small subunit ribosomal RNA
Source: RNAcentral
GACGAACGCUGGCGGCGUGCCUAACACAUGCAAGUCUACUUGAAGAUUUAAGCUUGCUUAAAUCGGAUGGUGGCGAACGGGUGAGUAACGCGUAGACAAUCUGCCUUUCAGUACGGGAUAAUUCUGUGAAAACGGGACUAAUACCGCAUGACAUCACGGAGUGGCAUCACUCUGUGAUUAAAGACCUUGAGUCGCUGAAAGAGGAGUCUGCGUAACAUUAGUUAGUUGGUAAGGUAAUGGCUUACCAAGACAUCGAUGUUUAGCUGGUCUGAGAGGAUGAUCAGCCACACUGGGACUGAGAUACGGCCCAG